Molecule: long non-coding RNA, 516 nt
Organism: Helianthus annuus (common sunflower)
Lineage: Eukaryota; Viridiplantae; Streptophyta; Magnoliopsida; Asterales; Asteraceae
Exons: 3
Source: RefSeq, a predicted model, not a curated record
GACAGCUCGGGAUUCCUGAGGCUGAAGACAACAAUGACCAGAGGCACUCCGGCGGCGCAAUUAGGGUUUCGCUGUGAACCCUAACAGCUGUGGCAGCGGCACUUUUUAUUUUUUAAGAUUUAAUUUUUUCCAAUGUAUCAAACCGUUUGUGUUCUUCUAAUCCGUCUCUUGCUCUAAUUGUUUAUUUGUUUUUUUAUUUUCUUCAGGUGCAGUCCAAGUUAAGUUUGCGAAAAUUUAGUCAUAAAAUUAAGCAUCAAUUUUUUUUAUUAGAGAAGGCUUGCAUUUGGCUUUAUUUCAUGUAUGGAAACAAGCUUUGUGAUGACAAAGUUCCUGAUCUGAUUCACCAUACAUAUACUAUUUGGAGUUCCAGUUUAGUGACAUGAAUCAAUGAAAUCUGCAGAAGUGAAAAGCUCCACCUUCAAGAUCGUUCAUAGCAUUCAAAACCUAGUAAGGACCCGGCAUUGGGUUCAGAUGACUGUGGUAUUGGGCUUUCUCGGCUUCAAUGACGCAAAUACU